This 320-nucleotide unclassified non-coding RNA is filed under the name Basidiomycota sp. RNAcentral describes it as "partial contains small subunit ribosomal RNA, internal transcribed spacer 1, and 5.8S ribosomal RNA". The stretch from base 1 to 47 matches the Rfam family "Eukaryotic small subunit ribosomal RNA", at positions 1785 to 1831 of the family's 1831-position model. The record is from RNAcentral. Lineage: Eukaryota; Fungi; Basidiomycota.
AAAGUCGUAACAAGGUUUCCGUAGGUGAACCUGCGGAAGGAUCAUUAUUGAAUAAACUUGGUUAGGUUGUUGCUGGCUCUUAGGAGCAUGUGCACGCCUACUCCAUUUUUAACCACCUGUGCACCUUUUGUAGACUUGAACAACUCUCGAGACAGUAAUGUACUCGGUUGGAGAAUUGCUGUGUGCUGUUAGGCCCAGCUUUUCUUGUGUUCACGUCUAUGUCUUCAUAUUACACUCCCAAGAAUGUAUUAGAAUGUAUUAACAGGCCUUUGUGCCUUUAAACACAAAUACAACUUUCAACAACGGAUCUCUUGGCUCUC